Molecule: ribosomal RNA, 481 nt
Filed under: Bacillus pumilus
Lineage: Bacteria; Bacillati; Bacillota; Bacilli; Caryophanales; Bacillaceae
Description: bacterial SSU rRNA
Rfam family: Bacterial small subunit ribosomal RNA
Source: RNAcentral
GUCUGACGGAGCAACGCCGCGUGAGUGAUGAAGGUUUUCGGAUCGUAAAGCUCUGUUGUUAGGGAAGAACAAGUGCGAGAGUAACUGCUCGCACCUUGACGGUACCUAACCAGAAAGCCAAGGCUAACUACGUCCCAGCAGGCGCCGUAAUACGUAGGUGGCAAGCGUUGUCCGGAAUUAUUGGGCGUAAAGGGCUCGCAGGCGGUUUCUUAAGUCUGAUGUGAAAGCCCCCGGCUCAACCGGGGAGGGUCAUUGGAAACUGGGAAACUUGAGUGCAGAAGAGGAGAGUGGAAUUCCACGUGUAGCGGUGAAAUGCGUAGAGAUGUGGAGGAACACCAGUGGCGAAGGCGACUCUCUGGUCUGUAACUGACGCUGAGGAGCGAAAGCGUGGGGAGCGAACAGGAUUAGAUACCCUGGUAGUCCACGCCGUAAACGAUGAGUGCUAAGUGUUAGGGGGUUUCCGCCCCUUAGUGCUGCAGCU